This 482-nucleotide ribosomal RNA is filed under the name uncultured bacterium. Its description in RNAcentral is "partial 16S ribosomal RNA". It matches the Rfam family "Bacterial small subunit ribosomal RNA", at positions 30 to 507 of the family's 1533-position model. The record is from RNAcentral.
AUUGAACGCUGGCGGCAUGAUUUACACAUGCAAGUCGAACGGUAACAGGCCGCAAGGUGCUGACGAGUGGCGAACGGGUGAGUAAUGCAUCGGAACGUGCCCAGUCGUGGGGGAUAACUACUCGAAAGAGUAGCUAGUACCGCAUACGAUCUAUGGAUGACAGCGGGGGACCGUAAGGCCUCGCGCGAUUGGAGCGGCCGAUGUCAGAUUAGGUAGUUGGUGGGGUAAAGGCUCACCAAGCCAACGAUCUGUAGCUGGUCUGAGAGGACGACCAGCCACACUGGGACUGAGACACGGCCCAGACUCCUACGGGAGGCAGCAGUGGGGAAUUUUGGACAAUGGGCGCAAGCCUGAUCCAGCAAUGCCGCGUGCAGGAAGAAGGCCUUCGGGUUGUAAACUGCUUUUGUACGGAACGAAACGGCUCCGGUUAAUACCCGGGGCUAAUGACGGUACCGUAAGAAUAAGCACCGGCUAACUACGUG